GUCGAGGGGCAUCGGGGAGCGAAGCUUGCUUUGCUCCGCCGGCGACCGGCGCACGGGUGAGUAACGCGUAUGCAACCUGCCCGUUUCAGCGGGAUAACCCGGAGAAAUCCGGCCUAAUACCGCAUGUGGCCGAGGGGAGGCAUCUUCUUUCGGCCAAAGGAGGCGACUCCGGAGACGGAUGGGCAUGCGUGACAUUAGCUUGUUGGCGGGGUAACGGCCCACCAAGGCGACGAUGUCUAGGGGUUCUGAGAGGAAGGUCCCCCACACUGGUACUGAGACACGGACCAGACUCCUACGGGAGGCAGCAGUGAGGAAUAUUGGUCAAUGGACGCAAGUCUGAACCAGCCAUGCCGCGUGCAGGAUGACGGCUCUAUGAGUUGUAAACUGCUUUUGUACGAGGGUAAACCCCGAUACGUGUAUCGGGUUGAAAGUAUCGUACGAAUAAGGAUCGGCUAACUCCGUGCCAGCAGCCGCGGUAAUACGGAGGAUCCGAGCGUUAUCCGGAUUUAUUGGGUUUAAAGGGUGCGUAGGCGGAAUAUCAAGUCAGCGGUAAAAAUUCGGGGCUCAACCCCGUCGUGCCGUUGAAACUGAUGUUCUUGAGUGGGCGAGAAGUAUGCGGAAUGCGUGGUGUAGCGGUGAAAUGCAUAGAUAUCACGCAGAACUCCGAUUGCGAAGGCAGCAUACCGGCGCCCAACUGACGCUGAAGCACGAAAGCGUGGGUAUCGAACAGGAUUAGAUACCCUGGUAGUCCACGCAGUAAACGAUGAAUGCUAAUUGUCCGGAGGGAUUGACCUCUGGGUGAUACAGCGAAAGCGUUAAGC
RNAcentral lists this ribosomal RNA (821 nucleotides) under uncultured bacterium. RNAcentral's name for it is "bacterial SSU rRNA". It matches the Rfam family "Bacterial small subunit ribosomal RNA", at positions 61 to 865 of the family's 1533-position model. The record is from RNAcentral.